CCAGCAGCCGCGGUAAUUCCAGCUCCAAUAGCGUAUACUAAAGUUGUUGCAGUUAAAAAGCUCGUAGUUGAAUUUCUGGUCUCAGACAACGGUCUGCCUCAAACGAGGUACGUACCAGUUGUCUGAAUCCAUCCUCGGGGAAAACAUAUCUGUCAUUAAGUUGAUGGGUAUGGGAUCCUCGUCAUUUACUGUGAGCAAAAUAGAGUGUUCAAAGCAGGCUUAUGCCAUUGAAUACAUUAGCAUGGAAUAAUAAGAUAGGACCUUGGUCUAUUUUGUUGGUUUGUACUCCAAGGUAAUGAUUAAUAGGGAUAGUUGGGGGUAUUCGUAUUCAAUUGUCAGAGGUG
Molecule: ribosomal RNA, 344 nt
Filed under: uncultured eukaryote
Lineage: Eukaryota
Description: SSU rRNA
Rfam family: Eukaryotic small subunit ribosomal RNA
Source: RNAcentral